This 388-nucleotide ribosomal RNA is filed under the name uncultured bacterium. RNAcentral's name for it is "bacterial SSU rRNA". It matches the Rfam family "Bacterial small subunit ribosomal RNA", at positions 30 to 420 of the family's 1533-position model. The record is from RNAcentral.
AUUGAACGCUGGCGGCAUGCCUUACACAUGCAAGUCGAACGGCAGCGGGCCUUCGGGUGCCGGCGAGUGGCGAACGGGUGAGUAAUGCAUCGGAACGUGCCAUUGAGUGGGGGAUAACGUAGCGAAAGUUACGCUAAUACCGCAUAUUCUGUGAGCAGGAAAGCAGGGGACCGCAAGGCCUUGCGCUCUUUGAGCGGCCGAUGUCAGAUUAGCUAGUUGGUGAGGUAAAGGCUUACCAAGGCGACGAUCUGUAGCGGGUCUGAGAGGAUGAUCGCCACACUGGAACUGAGACACGGUCCAGACUCCUACGGGAGGCAGCAGUGGGGGAAUUUUGGACAAUGGGCGCAAGCCUGAUCCAGCCAUGCCGCGUGAGUGAAGAAGGCCUCGG